UUGUUUCUUAUAAAAAGGACC
Molecule: microRNA, 21 nt
Filed under: Glycine max (soybean)
Lineage: Eukaryota; Viridiplantae; Streptophyta; Magnoliopsida; Fabales; Fabaceae
Also listed under: 1 other name
Description: gma-miR10405a
Source: miRBase by way of RNAcentral